Molecule: ribosomal RNA, 497 nt
Filed under: uncultured bacterium
Lineage: Bacteria
Description: partial 16S ribosomal RNA
Rfam family: Bacterial small subunit ribosomal RNA
Source: RNAcentral
GAUGAACGCUGGCGGCGUGCCUAAUACAUGCAAGUCGAGCGAACAGACGAGGAGCUUGCUCCUCUGACGUUAGCGGCGGACGGGUGAGUAACACGUGGAUAACCUACCUAUAAGACUGGGAUAACUUCGGGAAACCGGAGCUAAUACCGGAUAAUAUAUUGAACCGCAUGGUUCAAUAGUGAAAGACGGUUUUGCUGUCACUUAUAGAUGGAUCCGCGCCGCAUUAGCUAGUUGGUAAGGUAACGGCUUACCAAGGCAACGAUGCGUAGCCGACCUGAGAGGGUGAUCGGCCACACUGGAACUGAGACACGGUCCAGCCUCCUACGGGAGGCAGCAGUAGGGAAUCUUCCGCAAUGGGCGAAAGCCUGACGGAGCAACGCCGCGUGAGUGAUGAAGGUCUUCGGAUCGUAAAACUCUGUUAUUAGGGAAGAACAAAUGUGUAAGUAACUAUGCACGUCUUGACGGUACCUAAUCAGAAAGCCACGGCUAACUACGUG